This 401-nucleotide ribosomal RNA is filed under the name uncultured bacterium. RNAcentral's name for it is "bacterial SSU rRNA". It matches the Rfam family "Bacterial small subunit ribosomal RNA", at positions 355 to 773 of the family's 1533-position model. The record is from RNAcentral.
UCGGGAAUUUUGGGCAAUGGGCGAAAGCCUGACCCAGCGACGCCGCGUGAGGGAUGAAGUAUUUCGGUAUGUAAACCUCGAAAGAAUGGGAAGAAUAAAUGACGGUACCAUUUAUAAGCUCCGGCUAACUACGUGCCAGCAGCCGCGGUAAUACGUAGGGAGCAAGCGUUGUUCGGAUUUACUGGGCGUAAAGGGCGCGUAGGCGGCGCGGUAAGUCACUUGUGAAAUCUCUGAGCUUAACUCAGAACGGCCAAGUGAUACUGCUGUGCUAGAGUGCGGAAGAGGCAACCGGAAUUCUUGGUGUAGCGGUGAAAUGCGUAGAUAUCAAGAGGAACACCUGAGGCGAAGGCGGGUUGCUGGGCCGACACUGACGCUGAUGCGCGAAAGCCAGGGGAGCAAAC